This 660-nucleotide ribosomal RNA is filed under the name Ochromonas sp. CCMP1393. RNAcentral's name for it is "partial Bacterial large subunit ribosomal RNA". It matches the Rfam family "Bacterial large subunit ribosomal RNA", at positions 159 to 777 of the family's 2925-position model. Lineage: Eukaryota; Chrysophyceae; Chromulinales; Chromulinaceae. The record is from RNAcentral.
UGAAUGUAUAGGGGUGUGGGAGGUAACGCGGGGAAGUGAAACAUCUUAGUACCCGUAGGAAGAGAAAACAAUUGUGAUUCCGUGAGUAGUGGCGAGCGAAAGCGGAGGAGGCUAAACCGUGUGUGUGUUCAAGCCGGCAGGUGUUGCAUGUGCGGGGUUGUGGGGGCCUUGUGGUUCUGCUGCCGCAGGAUUGGCCAGUGAGAAAUGUUGCGUGAAGGUGAAGCGUCUGGGAAGGCGUACCGGAGUGGGUGAGAGUCCUGUAACUGUAAGCGUGGCACUGGUGUGGGGUUGCCCCGAGUAGCGUGGGACUCGUGGAAUUUCGCGUGAAUCUGGCGGGACCACCCGUCAAGCCUAAAUACUCCUUGGUGACCGAUAGUGGAUGAGUACCGUGAGGGAAGGGUGAAAAGUACCCCGGGAGGGGAGUGAAAGAGUACCUGAAACCGUGUGCCUACAAGCCGUCGGAGCCUGUCAGAGGGUGACGGCGUGCCUUUUGAAGAAUGAGCCUGCGAGUUAGCGUUGUGUGGCGAGGUUAACCCGUGUGGGGUAGCCGUAGCGAAAGCGAGUCCGAACAGGGCGUUUUAGUCAGUGGGGGUAGACGCGAAACUUUGUGAUCUAUCCAUGGGCAGGUUGAAGCGUCGGUAAGACGACGUGGAGGACCGA